UACGGGGGGGGCAAGCGUUGUUCGGAAUUACUGGGCGUAAAGGGCUCGUAGGUGGCCAACUAAGUCAGACGUGAAAUCCCUCAGCUUAACUGGGGAACUGCGUGUGAUACUGGAUGGCUUGGAUUUGGGAGAGGGAUGCGGAAUUCCAGGUGUAGCGGUGAAAUGCGUAGAUAUCUGGAGGAACACCGGUGGCGAAGGCGGCAUCCUGGACCAAUAUUGACGCUGAGGAGCGAAAGCCAGGGGAGCAAACGGG
Molecule: ribosomal RNA, 253 nt
Filed under: uncultured bacterium
Lineage: Bacteria
Description: partial 16S ribosomal RNA
Rfam family: Bacterial small subunit ribosomal RNA
Source: RNAcentral